CGGGACGGGGUGGAGUAAUGUCUGGGAAACUGCCUGAUGGAGGGGGGUAACUACUGGAAACGGUAGCUAAUACCGCAUAACGUCGCAAGACCAAAGAGGGGGACCUUAGGGCCUCUUGCCAUCGGAUGUGCCCAGAUGGGAUUAGCUAGUAGGUGGGGUAACGGCUCACCUAGGCGACGAUCCCUAGCUGGUCUGAGAGGAUGACCAGCCACACUGGGACUGAGACACGGCCCAG
RNAcentral lists this ribosomal RNA (235 nucleotides) under uncultured bacterium. Its description in RNAcentral is "partial 16S ribosomal RNA". It matches the Rfam family "Bacterial small subunit ribosomal RNA", at positions 104 to 334 of the family's 1533-position model. The record is from RNAcentral.